This 520-nucleotide ribosomal RNA is filed under the name uncultured Entrophospora. RNAcentral describes it as "SSU rRNA". It matches the Rfam family "Eukaryotic small subunit ribosomal RNA", at positions 569 to 1085 of the family's 1831-position model. The record is from RNAcentral. Lineage: Eukaryota; Fungi; Glomeromycota; Glomeromycetes; Entrophosporales; Entrophosporaceae.
AGCAGCCGCGGUAAUUCCAGCUCCAAUAGCGUAUAUUAAAGUUGUUGCAGUUAAAAAGCUCGUAGUUGAAUUUCGGGAUUGACGUGACGGUCGUGCCUUAAGGGGUAUGAACUGUUACAGUCAAUUUCUCACCUUCUGGAGAAAUAUGAUGUCCUUAAUUGGGUGUCAUAUGGAACCAGGACUUUUACCUUGAAAAAUUAGAGUGUUUAAAGCAAGCUUAUUGCUCGAAUACAUUAGCAUGGAAUAAUAAAAUAGGACGGCUUGAUUCUAUUUUGUUGGUUUCUAGGAUCACCGUAAUGAUUAAUAGGGAUAGUUGGGGGCAUUAGUAUUCAAUUGUCAGAGGUGAAAUUCUUGGAUUUAUUGAAGACUAACUACUGCGAAAGCAUUUGCCAAGGAUGUUUUCAUUAAUCAAGAACGAAAGUUAGGGGAUCGAAGACGAUCAGAUACCGUCGUAGUCUUAACCAUAAACUAUGCCGACUAGGAAUCAGACGAUGUUAAUUUUUUAAUGACUCGUUUGGCA